This 299-nucleotide unclassified non-coding RNA is filed under the name uncultured fungus. RNAcentral's name for it is "partial contains 5.8S ribosomal RNA, internal transcribed spacer 2, and large subunit ribosomal RNA". The stretch from base 1 to 52 matches the Rfam family "5.8S ribosomal RNA", at positions 103 to 154 of the family's 154-position model. Lineage: Eukaryota; Fungi. The record is from RNAcentral.
AACGCACCUUGCGCUCCUUGGUAUUCCGAGGAGCAUGCCUGUUUGAGUGUCAUAAAUUCUUCAACUUACAAGUCCUUUGUUGGGUUUGUAGGCUUGGAAUUGGAGGCUUUGUUGGCCGUUUCAUCGGUCGGCUCCUCUCAAAUGCAUUAGCUUGAUUCCUUGCGGAUCGGCCGUCAGUGUGAUAACAUCUACGCCGCGACCAUGAAGUGUGUUGUUGGCAAGCUUCUAACCGUCUUAUUUUGAGACAAACUCUUAUGACCUCUGACCUCAAAUCAGGUAGGACUACCCGCUGAACUUAA